GUGCGUGCAAGGGGCAGGACCACGACCUACCAAGGCCAACGCCCUGCAGUGCCCCAUCCACCAGCUCCGCCUCUUCCUUCCACACCCAGCUCCUCUCCAGGGCCUUCUCCUCCGCACUAGGAGUGUGUCCCUCAAAUGCUCCCUCCCAGUUGUCUUGAAAAGCUGGCUAAAGGAGAAGAAGCUGUCUGAAGAGCCUCCUGCAGGCCCAGCUGACUGCUUACCUGAGAAUAAUGAAACUUACAUUUCCACUCAGCAGUCAAGCACAGAAAUUGACCCUGGCACCUUUGUAAGCUAAUCGAGUUACAAAAGGAAUCCUCUUAGGAUCAAAUUCAGGACAACAGCUGCUCUGCUGAUCCAUUUUUAUUAUUACCUUUUCCUUAAAAUCUGCUCUGCCACCCUCUGAUCCAGCCCAACCCAGCCUGGGCGUGUCUGAGAGGCUGGGCAGGGCCCAGGCAUGCACUGAAAUUGAANUAGACAAUUUAGAUAGAAGAAGUUUCUAGAAAGACACAAAUUUACCAAAACCGACUCGAGAAGAAACAAAAUCUGAAUAGACCCAAACUGUUAAAUAUAGACCCAAACCAUUAAAUAAGUUAAAUUAAGCAUUAAAAAUCUUCCCAUGAAGAAAAGGCGGGUCCCAGAAAGCUUCACUGGUGACCACCCUGUCAAAUACUGAAAGAAGAAAUACCAUUCAUCACAACUCAGGAGACAGGGAGGGAACACUCGUUCCAUUCUAUGAGGCCGGUGUUAUCCUGACACAAAAGACAAAGACAUCACAGACAUCACAGAACUACGGACCAGAAUCUCUCAUGAACAUAGAUGCAAAAAUCCUUAGCAAAUAUUAGCAAAUGGAAUCCAGCAACAUAAAAAAAAAUAAGAUUACACCAUAGCCACAGGGAUUUGUCCCCGGAAUACAAAGUUAGUUUAACAUCCCAAAUCAAUUAAUGGAAUACACCAUAUUAAUAGAGUAAGGGAUAAAACCCACAUGAUCAUCUCAACAGUAGCAUAAAAAGCGUCUGGAAAUCCAACACGAUGCAGAUGUUCAGCAUCAUUAGUCAUCGGGGAAAUGGGAAUUGAAGGCACAAUGAGAUUCCCCACCUGGAUGGCUAUCAUCAGAAGACAGACGACAAGAAGUAUUAGGAGGGAUGUGGAGAAACUGGAACCUCAAUUGCCAGUGGCACAUUUGGCAAUUUCUUUCUUUCUUUUUUUUCUUUUUUCUUUUUUUUGUACAAGGAAUUGAACCCAGGCUUACUUAUUAAGCCACAUCCCCAGCCCUUUUUGAGACAGGAUCUCACUAAGUUGUAUAGGACUUCACCAAGUUGUCGAGGCUGGCCUCAAACUUGCCAUCCUCCUAUUCAGCCUCCUGAGCUGCUGGAAUUACAGGUGUGAGUCACUGGUCCCAGCUACAUUCCACAAUUUCUUAGAAAGUUAAAUGCCAUUAACGAACAGAUCUAGCAGUUCCAUGACAAUGUAUGUAUCCAAGAGAAUCGCAAACAUGUUUCACGAAGACUCUAUCAGCUUUAUAUAUCAUGGCCACAAUUCGGAAGAAAUCCAAAUACUUGUCCAUCUGUGAGGAACGCAUCAGGGCAUCACCCACUCGAUGGGAGACUCAUCUGCAAUAAAAGGGACCCAACUACCAGAAACACAGACGAGCCUCAUCUGAAACUAAAGCCAGGCAGAAAGACGACAUAUUGUACGAUUUUUAUAAGAAACAUUGAGAAAAAGCAAAUCUAGGGCUGGGGUUGUGGCUCAAUGGUAGAACACUUGCCUCCUAUGUGUGAAGCACUGGGUUCGAUCCCCAGCACCACAUUAAAAAAAUAAUAAUAAAAUAAUAAUAAACAAAAUAAAGUUAUUUUAAAAAAAAGAAAAAGAAAAAGAGCAAAUCUACAAGUACAGGAAGCAGGUAAGUUACAACCCAGGCCCAGAAGUGGGAUUUACUGCAAACCAGCGGACGAACUCCAGGUGACGGACUGUCCUACAGGUGCAGCACCCUGCUGGCAGCACCACUCCACAAAUGUGCUGAAAAGCGCCAAACUGUGUGUUUAUGGUGGUGAAUUUUAUGGUAUGUAAAUUAUACCUCAGUAACGAAGCUGAAGCUGUCAAAAGUAAGUGCAAGGGGCAGGACCACGACCUACCAAGGCCAACGCCCUGCAGUGCCCCAUCCACCAGCUCCGCCUCUUCCUUCCACACCCAGCUCCUCUCCAGGGCCUUCUCCUCGGCACUAGGAGUGUGUCCCUCAAAUGCUCCCUCCCAGUUGUCUUGAAAAGCUGGCUAAAGGAGAAGAAGCUGUCUGAAGAGCCUCCUGCAGGCCCAGCUGACUGCUUACCUGAGAAUAAUGAAGCUUACAUUUCCACUCAGCAGUCAAGCACAGAAAUUGACCCUGGCACCUUUGUAAGCUAAUCGAGUUACAAAAGGAAUCCUCUUAGGAUCAAAUUCAGGACAACAGCUGCUCUGCUGAUCCAUUUUUAUUAUUACCUUUUCCUUAAAAUCUGCUCUGCCACCCUCUGAUCCAGCCCAACCCAGCCUGGGCGUGUCUGAGAGGCUGGGCAGGGCCCAGGCAUGCACUGAAAUUGAAGGGCUCAGGACACCUGCAAGCAACCUUGACCAUGACGACUCCUGGCACUUGCACAUGUUUCACAAUAACUGAGUACUCUACUUCUAUGACCUCAAGUUCCAGUGGAGCCCUGUCCCUUGCUCUUCCUGGAAGCCACAGACCUGCCCCAAGCCCAGACCCAUAGUAGGAAUGUCAACUGAAUCCUCCCUCCAGGCAGACACUGGCUGAAGAGGGAAAUUCCUGCUCAGCUUCCAGCUGGAGUAGCUGGAGUAGCUGGCAGGGAGGGACCCUCAUGCCUAACCCUAGUCACAACUUUGCAAGCUCAACCCAACAAGGAACAGACAUUUGUACAGAAACCCCCUGAGCGGGGGUGCUGGUCACCCACCCCUGUGUGAGGAGUCACUUGGAGGAACAAUGCCUCUUCACACAGGUCCUGGGCUCCGCCAUCCUCUGUGGCUGCUAGGACUGUGCACCCUGUGCCGCAGAGGCUGCCCCUGUUGCUUGACGAACUGCUGCCAAGUCCAGCACCCCAGGUCACUCCUAGGCGCACCCAGAAAUGCAAUUUUGGGAGGCGGAAACUUACCCCCAGCAAUGCAUGGAAACCCUACCCUAACACAUCUGCAUAUUAAACUACCAAGGACCGAGAAGCUUUCAAAGGGAGAAGAUCAAAGGGCUGUCAUCUUUUAAUUUAAUCCUUUUGUUGCAUCAAUGGUCUUAAGAGGGAUGAGAGAGAUCAAAAUAAAAAUGGAAACAAACUAUAUCUUUAUGGCUGUUGUGUUUUAGUCUUUUUUUCUCAAUUUGGGCCAUAAAAUAGGUCAGCUCCAUUACUGAUCAGCCUUCCCACAAAUAUUUAAAACAAAUUGAAUUGCACACCCAAUACCCAUCACAAUUACACCAGGCACAAUAACUAAAUUAGCAAUUCAACAAAAUAAUUGGAAAUGCGAUUCUCUCUAUUCCACCAGUCUCCCUCGAGGGUUUAGCCGAUCUAUGGGGGAAAACUCAGCUUUCCUAAUUCUGCAGCUAAUUAGAGACACACUUGUAAAUGAAGUUGUUUGUCUUAAAGUUGAAAUUCUCUUCUGGGGUUGGGGAGGAGGCAAGGAGAGAUGAGAAGCCCUUUGCUCGGGAGCAAGUGUACAAACAGGUAUAAAGAACGCGC
This 3707-nucleotide long non-coding RNA is filed under the name Marmota monax (woodchuck). The stretch from base 1736 to 1804 matches the Rfam family "tRNA". The record is from RNAcentral. Lineage: Eukaryota; Metazoa; Chordata; Mammalia; Rodentia; Sciuridae.